AAUUUAAGUAGAAAGCCUGAUUUCACAUUUUGUACUAGCAUGCUUUUUAUACCGUUAGAUGGCUUGCCUCUAUGUGGCGUCCUCGCUUGACAAUGAAAUGUUACGUUAAGUUUGCUCGUUAAAAUUCUGAAUAUGACAGUGGAUCUAAAAAAUAGUUCAAAUCUUUCCUGUCCAAUUCAAACAAACAGUGGCAGUGAGAGCUAAUGAUAGCAAAAUAUUACAAAAUCUGUUGUCAAGCUAGUGUUGAGCAAAGAGAAGCAACAGAGAAUUUGCCAAAUGACGGGAUCUCUGUAAUCACUGAUUCUGGAUGUUUGAAGCAAGGUCCAGCUGUAGGAACAAGUUGGGCAAGAUAUAAAUGUUCUGUCAACAAGGCUAUUCAAUCGAGAAUCUAUUUUUCAGGUUUGACAAUUCAAACCUAAUUAAUCCUCAGGGAGGAUUAAUUAUCCCCCUACCUGUAAAGUCGUGUAAAGUCGUCCCCAGUUUCCGUCAGUUACGUAUAAGUGUGUAGUCUACAGGGCGGAUUUUGCUCUAAUACUGGCAAUUUUAUAUGAUAUUAUCUCAAACUAAUAAUAGUACAUAACAUUGCAUAUGCCGAACCAUAACGAAGUCGAUUACAUUCACUCUUUGCUCGCUAAGAAUUUUGUACUUGGCCCGACGUGACAAACUCGUGAUCUAUUAACAAGGAAUCAACUUAAACUGAUCCUUGUCGAUGAUCUGCUGUGACACUCUGGUAACUGGUAUGGCAGUUGAUGGAUGUGAAUGAAAAUUUGAAGAAAUGAGUUUUGGUAACAAUUAAAUAAGAAAACUAAGAUUUCUAUCUAAAACGUAAAUCGUCGUAAAACUGUUUUUAUUUUCUCUUAAAACACUAAAAUAUAGAAAACUAUUGACACA
Molecule: long non-coding RNA, 891 nt
Filed under: Daphnia magna
Lineage: Eukaryota; Metazoa; Arthropoda; Branchiopoda; Diplostraca; Daphniidae
Description: uncharacterized LOC116934504, transcript variant X2
Source: RNAcentral